AUCCAGACUGUCUUUUUUAUGAAUUUAAUU
Molecule: non-coding RNA, 30 nt
Filed under: Cricetulus griseus (Chinese hamster)
Lineage: Eukaryota; Metazoa; Chordata; Mammalia; Rodentia; Cricetidae
Source: RNAcentral